Pelobates cultripes (western spadefoot toad) is the source of this 212-nucleotide non-coding RNA. NCBI's taxonomy places the organism in Eukaryota, Metazoa, Chordata, Amphibia, Anura, Pelobatidae. The record is from the annotation of a GenBank genome assembly.
CUGCUCUGUUGCUGUAACUUAUCUGCUGAGUGCUGGUGGAGAGUUAUAAAAAAUAGCUCUCCUACCCCCACCUCACAAAAUUAUAAAGUUUCCCAUUCACUAUAUGGCCGAACAAAAAUGAUGUCCAAAUUCUUAUUCCUUAUGUUACUUGCCCUUGCAAAUGAUGUGGAGUCUAACCCUGGUCUCCAAGCUAAUUCUAGUCCUAAUCUCCC